Molecule: long non-coding RNA, 2015 nt
Organism: Oncorhynchus keta (chum salmon)
Lineage: Eukaryota; Metazoa; Chordata; Actinopteri; Salmoniformes; Salmonidae
Exons: 3
Source: RefSeq, a predicted model, not a curated record
GUAAAACCCUAUGGACCUGAAAGGGACUGCAGUGUGCUCCAGUCUCCAGCAGGGGGCAGUAAAACCCUAUGGACCUGAAAGGGACUGCAGUGUGCUCCAGUCUCCAGCAGGGGGCAGAAAAAGUAAAGGUGUGUCAAAUGGAAGGGAAAGUCUCCCCACUGAGAGGAAAACAUCACUGGUCCACCUCUGCAUCAGGUCAGCUAUGUUGAUCAGUACUGUCCCAGGGAUGCUGGGAGCAGAGAUGAACUCCCCUGACCUGGUACCACCUAUGGAGUUGUCAUUUUAAUAUCAGUUUAACCCCAUUACUGCUAUAACACAUAAACCAUGUUAAUAGAAUGAAAUGGAUCCAGGUUCCAUUUAUUCUACAUUCGAUUUACUGCCAGUGGAACACUUCUCCAAAGUGGUCUGAAAUCAAGAUGACUGCAGGUCUGAAUCCUAAACUAAUAAUAUACUGACCAGCAGGAGAGGACAGUGGAGGAAAUGGUGAGGGACAGGAAUGAUAUACUGACCAGCAGGAGAGGACAGUGGAGGAAAUGGUGAGGGACAGGAAUGAUAUACUGACCAGCAGGAGAGGACAGUGGAGGAAAUGGUGAGGGACAGGAAUGAUAUACUGACCAGCAGGAGAGGACAGUGGAGGAAAUGGUGAGGGACAGGAAUGAUAUACUGACCAGCAGGAGAGGACAGUGGAGGAAAUGGUGAGGGACAGUCUGAUACUACAUCACUAUAUACUGUAUACUAUUCAGGUACAGCACUAUAUACUGUAUACUAUUCAGAUACAUCACUAUAUACUGUAUACUAUUCAGGUUCAGGUACUAUAUACUAUUAAGGUUCAGGUACAUCACUAUAUACUGUAUACUAUUCAGGAACAACACUAUAUACUGUAUACUAUUCAGGUACAGCACUAUAUACUGUAUACUAUUCAGGUACAUCACUAUAUACUGUAUACUAUUCAGGUACAUCACUAUAUACAAUGUACUAUUCAGGUACAUCACUAUAUACUGUAUACUAUUCAGGUACAACAUGGAGUUAGAACAGCCAGAUAGACCAGUGAUCCAUGAACCUAGAAAGGUCUCAUUAUCACUAAGAGACCAGUUAAAAGCAGAGAUACUGAGGCUCGGGGCCUUAGAUAUCCUAGACAAAAGUAUAAGAUGCCUACUGAAUGGGUCCACUCACUAGUAAUGGUGGAGAAGAAGACGACUCUCUCAGACUGUGUAUGGAUCCAACAGAGAUAAACAAGCAUGUAAAAGGGAACCCUUCCUGUUGCCUACCAGAGGGGAGAUAUUCAGGGACAUAACAGGGGAGAACAGGGGAGAGCGAGCGGUCGCAUCCGCACUUCGGUCCGCAGGUAGUAUUACUUUUCAUUACUUUUCAUUACAUUUCAUUAUAGUACAACGGUUUGAUUUGUCUAAUCUUAGCAAUUUCUUCUUAGCUAGCUACAUAGCCGUCUUUGUAUCAAAGAUAAUUGCGUAAUUAUCGUAUUUCGUCGUCCUAACGUAGUCUACUGCCCAGCAGCUAGCCACAUAGCUACGUCCACCGUAUAGCAGCACCGUAGAAACUAUUACACUCAACUGAACGACUUGAUUAGUGUAGUGUUAGCUAGCUACAUAGUUGUCUUUGCUGUCUUCGUAUCCAAGAUAAUUGUGUAGUUUAGAGUGUGUAGUCUUAGAGUGAUAAUCUUAAUUUACCGAGGUUAGCUAGCCAGCUAUUUGUCGUCCUUAACGUAGGAGACACUGCUAGCUAGCUAACAGCUAGCCAACAUCUACCGAAUUAACUUCCCACUCAACAACCCGGUCGCAUUCUACUUCGCUCCACAGGUAGUAUCACAUUUUCAUUUAAUUUCAUUACAGCACAACGGUUUGAUUUGCUUGAUCGUAGCUAGCUACAUAGCUAGCUACAUAGCCGUCCUUGUAUCAAAGAUAAUUGUGUAGUCUAGAGCGAUUUUCUAGGUUAGCUAGCCAGCUAUUGUCGUUCUUUUAACGCAACGUAAUGUAAUCAACACUGCUAGCUAGCCAGCU